Molecule: long non-coding RNA, 1632 nt
Organism: Triticum aestivum (bread wheat)
Lineage: Eukaryota; Viridiplantae; Streptophyta; Magnoliopsida; Poales; Poaceae
Exons: 4
Source: RefSeq, a predicted model, not a curated record
AGAUGGUGAUGGGGUUCCCUCACCAUCUGCAGGUCAUCAUCCUUAAGGGCUCCACCAUCUGCAGUGUCUACAGUGGACUAUUUGCAUCUUCAGUGCAAAUACCUGAUUGUAUAUGGAUGGAUUGUAGGGUCUAACCACCUUGAUUUGAUUCGGGCUGGAGCAGCAGCAGCAGGUCCUUCCUUCCAUGGAGGGCAUCCACAACAUGACCCGCACAAGGAGCUCCAAGCAGACAAAGCACAGGUUUCUUUGUUUGUAAAUUAAGCAGUCUGGUAGAUUUGGAAAGGAGGAACAGGGUACUGAACUUUUAUAUAUCUGCACAAGGAAUACUAUGUUAUGUAAGAACAUGGCGGUGCAGUCACCCGAGGUGAAGAAGCUCUGUCACCUACCUCUACAUCCUCCACUAGGCUGACAAGCACAACUGCUAACAAGUAUGCUAAUCCACCCUCAUCUGCAUCGCUUCCUCCUAGCCUGUGAUUUAUGACAUGGAGCAUGUUGUUCUGUUAUCAUAUACACGAAUCUGUCCAUGCUUAAAUGUGGUCAUAGGUUGUGGAAUAGGAGAAACAAUAUAAUGUUCUUUAGCAGAUGCAAACCUGUCCAUGCCUUAUUUGGACCAAUAAUUACUGGUGUUGCCUAUUUGAUAUGUAAACAUAUUUUUUUGGAUGUCACAGAAAAAUGCCAUGCUACUACAUAAGUUUGAAUCAAACAAAUUAAAUUUGUAAUAAGAUCCCUGAAAGUAAUUAAGUGCUUCUUGAAUGCAUGGAAACAACAAGUUAGAUAUCUCAGAGGUACUAUGUCAUAUAUUCUGAAAGUGGCGCACAUGGAUAUGUAUUCUUGGUUAGCUUUAUGUUCCAUUUCUGUUGUACAUGCUCCAAGAGUUAAUGUGUUAUUCUGAAAGGAUAUGAAGUGAAUUGUCUUCUACUGCAAUCAAUGGGCAUUUCGUUCUACACAUAUGUCCUGAUGUUGUAGUGCCACUUGAUUUCCUUUAAAAUUUCAGUAACAAUUGAGCAAUAUUGGCCUUCCCUUUUUCCUGUAUUAAGUACUAUUCAUGGAGUCAAAGCUCAUGGAGAUGGUCUGUUACUGAUUGCUGCAUCUAUAGAGCUCACUAAUAAAAUAUCUGCUGGUUCAUCUAACUUAUUUGAUCUAUAUGUUUUUGUUUACCUGCAACACGAAGAGAAAAACAUGCUCAAUUAGUUCAUAAAUUUUAAAAUUGUGCAUUUUGUAUAAUUUCUGCUGGUUCCAGUCACAGCAUGCCAGCAUCUAAUCCUUGCAGCAACACCAGGACUAGACUUUGGAUAUUUUUCUAUACAUUUGACAUUAAAGUUAUACCAACUUGCAUCCAUCGAUCACUAGCUAUUACAUGCAGUAGGUAAUUAUCUGAUGUCAAUGCAACAUCCAAAUCAUUGAAAUACGACCUCUUAUUCUACACAGUUCUUUAUGCUUUGACAAAUCACAAAGUAGAAAUCGAUUUUAAGAUAAUCUAUAAUUAUAAUAAGACCAGGGAUUGCUUUUCUGAAAGAAAAACAAGGGAUUGUUAAUAUGUUUAAAUAUGAAGAUUUGCAGUACUGUAGGUCCUUACCUCUUCUUUUCCAAAGUAGAUAGGACAAAAAAAAAUAUGUCCCCACUAAUCGGUAC